Molecule: long non-coding RNA, 670 nt
Organism: Dendroctonus ponderosae (mountain pine beetle)
Lineage: Eukaryota; Metazoa; Arthropoda; Insecta; Coleoptera; Curculionidae
Exons: 3
Source: RefSeq, a predicted model, not a curated record
CAUAUGUGAACAUUACGUUUAACUACGUAUUAAAUCUUGUAUUACUUAUACAAUUGGUUCAAAAUGCCACAUUUUUGCAGUGUCGUUAAAUGCGCAACGAGAUACGGUUUCUUUUGUCCGAUUUUAGCGCGACAUAGAAGAGAGAUGAUUUGAAUGCUUUCUCUAGUGAACGUCGAAAUGUUUGUGUUAAGGCUUUAAAACGGGUGCCUUUGGGUGAAAUCUUUGUGAGAAAUGAUCGUAUUUGCUUACGACAUUUCAUAACUGGAAAACCAGCUGCCUUAGAAGACAAAACUAAUCCAGCUGUGUUGCCCAACGAAAAUUUAGGAAACAUUUGUAGUCUCUAACCAGGUCAAUCUGCCUCCCUACUCCCUAUUUACAAGGUUUUUAAAAAGAGCUAGAAUGAAACCAGAGGUCCGAGCUGAAGUUCUUUCUGCAUGGUGUACAAGAAUUUGAUAGUGUUUCACAAUUUAUUGAAGAAAACUGAGCAAAGCAGGUUUAUGGAAGCUGUGUUAGUGAGUCAGUUCAAACUGAUGUACCUAACUGAAGAAUAUUCAAGUCGUGUUUUUCAGAACUUAGAUUUUUGCAAUUCAAUAAUGUACACCUUGCAAGCAAAAGUUCAAGUGAUGGAUGUAAAUGAGAAUUAUGUUAAAAAUAAAUGCUUUAUCCCUAA